UACGUAGGGGGCUAGCGUUGUCCGGAUUUAUUGGGCGUAAAGAGCGUGUAGGCGGCCAGGUAGGUCUGCUGUGAAAACUCGAGGCUCAACCUUCAGAGGUCGACCGAAACCAUCUGGCUAGAGUCCGGGAGAGGAGAGUGGAAUUCCUGGUGUAGCGGUGAGAUGCGCAGAUAUCAGGAAGAACACCCGUGGCGAAAGCGGCUCUCUGGAACGGUACUGACGCUGAGACGCGAAAGCGUGGGGAGCGAACAGG
RNAcentral lists this ribosomal RNA (253 nucleotides) under uncultured bacterium. RNAcentral's name for it is "partial 16S ribosomal RNA". It matches the Rfam family "Bacterial small subunit ribosomal RNA", at positions 524 to 776 of the family's 1533-position model. The record is from RNAcentral.